AUUGAACGCUGGCGGAAUGCUUUACACAUGCAAGUCGAACGGCAGCACGGACUUCGGUCUGGUGGCGAGUGGCGAACGGGUGAGUAAUGUAUCGGAACGUGCCCAGUCGUGGGGGAUAACGUAGUGAAAAUUACGCUAAUACCGCAUACGAUCUAUGGAUGAAAGCGGGGGAUCGCAAGACCUCGCGCGACUUGAGCGGCCGAUAUCAGAUUAGGUAGUUGGUGGGGUAAAGGCCCACCAAGCCAACGAUCUGUAGCUGGUCUGAGAGGACGACCAGCCACACUGGAACUGAGACACGGUCCAGACUCCUACGGGAGGCAGCAGUGGGGAAUUUUGGACAAUGGGCGAAAGCCUGAUCCAGCCAUUCCGCGUGCAGGAUGAAGGCCCUCGGGUUGUAAACUGCUUUUGUACAGAACGAAAAGGUUUCUACUAAUACUAGGAGCUCAUGACGGUACUGUAAGAAUAAGCACCGGCUAACUACGUGCCAGCCGCCGCAGUAA
This 500-nucleotide ribosomal RNA is filed under the name uncultured bacterium. RNAcentral describes it as "partial 16S ribosomal RNA". It matches the Rfam family "Bacterial small subunit ribosomal RNA", at positions 30 to 523 of the family's 1533-position model. The record is from RNAcentral.